GUUUGACCUCAAAUCAGGUAGGAGUACCCGCUGAACUUAAGCAUAUCAAUAAGCGGAGAGAA
Molecule: ribosomal RNA, 62 nt
Filed under: Saccharomyces cerevisiae (brewer's yeast)
Lineage: Eukaryota; Fungi; Ascomycota; Saccharomycetes; Saccharomycetales; Saccharomycetaceae
Description: partial 26S ribosomal RNA
Rfam family: Eukaryotic large subunit ribosomal RNA
Source: RNAcentral